GAAUUUUGCGCAAUGGGCGAAAGCCUGACGCAGCAACGCCGCGUGGGGGAUGAAGGCCCUCGGGUUGUAAACCCCUUUUGCGAGGGAAGAAGAUCUGACGGUACCUCGCGAAUAAGCCACGGCUAACUACGUGCCAGCAGCCGCGGUAAUACGUAGGUGGCAAGCGUUGUCCGGAUUUACUGGGCGUAAAGCGCGCGCAGGCGGACUGGUUAGUCCGGGGUGAAAGCUCAUGGCUCAACUGUGAGUGGUCCCCGGAUACUGCCCGUCUUGAGGUGUCUAGAGGAGAGCGGAAUUCCCGGUGUAGUGGUGGAAUGCGUAGAUAUCGGGAAGAACACCGGUGGCGAAGGCGGCUAUCUGGACCGACAUUGACGCUGAGGCGCGAAAGCGUGGGGAGCAAACAGG
Molecule: ribosomal RNA, 402 nt
Filed under: uncultured bacterium
Lineage: Bacteria
Description: bacterial SSU rRNA
Rfam family: Bacterial small subunit ribosomal RNA
Source: RNAcentral